Molecule: ribosomal RNA, 402 nt
Filed under: uncultured bacterium
Lineage: Bacteria
Description: bacterial SSU rRNA
Rfam family: Bacterial small subunit ribosomal RNA
Source: RNAcentral
UGAGGGAUAUUGGUCAAUGGGCGCAAGCCUGAACCAGCGACGCCGCGUGGGUGAAGAAGGUCUUCGGAUCGUAAAGCCCUUUUUCCACUGAAGAGGAAGGACGGUAGGUGGGGAAGAAGUCUCGGCUAACUACGUGCCAGCAGCCGCGGUAAAACGUAGGAGACAAGCGUUAUCCGGAGUUACUGGGCGUAAAGGGCGUGCAGGUGGCGUCUUAAGUCUGUUGUGAAAGCGCCUGGCUUAACCGGGCGAGGCCAAUGGAGACUGAGAGGCUGGAGGACGGCGGAGGGGUGUGGAAUCCGGGUGUAGUGGUGAAAUGCGUAGAGAUCCGGAGGAACACCCGAGGCGAAGGCGGCACUCUAAGCCGUACCUGACACUGAGACGCGACAGCACGGGGAGCAAACG